GAAAAGUGGUUGUAGACGUAAGGGUAAGAUGACAAAACUGGAAGGGACUUCUAGCGCAAAUAGCCAAGGAGCUGAAGAGGAAAAGAGUUUUACGCCAUCGGCAAACUCUAGUUUAUCCCACGAUGGUCUUCAACUUUCACUAUGUUCAACGCCAUUGAAAAACGACUCCGGCAUAUCCAAUGAAUCGCAUCCGGAUUUAAAUUGUUCAACGUCAUCGGAAAAGACUCUCUCCGAUACAUCCAAAGAUGCGCUUCUAUUUUCACAAUCUUUACCAUCAUCGAUAAGCAGUGACUCAGGGAUAGCAAAAGAUGCGGUUAUACAUUCACAACCUUCAAUAACGUCGGAAAAACCUGACUUAAGGGUGUCAUAUGGUGCGGCGUAUAAUUUAAGAAGGAACAGUAAAACACCUGUGACUUUGCUUCAGGAACUUCUUUUAAAAAGGCAUGUUGUACCAAAUUUUGAAUUGAUUCACAACGGUGUUGGUACGCACCAGCCUACAUUUAAAUUUCAAGUCAGUGCAAUCGGAAAAAUAGCAUUUGGAAAUGGAAAAUCAAAAAAAGAAGCUAAACAUGAUGCUGCUCGUAAUUUCCUUCUAAUACUUAAAUCAGAGGAUUCAGAAUUACAACAUCUAGUGGAAGAAAGUGUCGUGGAUGAAGUGCGGCAUCCAUAUGCAGAAAUAAUCAAAGAUAAUGCUGUUGGAAGUCUGCAGGAAUUUUGUUCAGACAAAUUGUUGCGCAUGCCAGUGUACGCACUAACACGAGAUGAAGGAUUACCUCAUGAUAAGAUAUUUUGCAUAUCUUGUUCUGUUUCUUCCUUCAAAACUGAAGGACUAGCUAAGACCAAAAAGCAAGCAAAGCAGUUGGCUGCUCAAGCCAUGCUUGAAAAAUUGAAAGAUUGCCUACAAGAAGUUCCUGCCUUGGAAAAAAAUAAUGAGAUAAAACUCAUCAGAACAAGAAUAACAGAAAGGAUGCGUGGAAGGAAAUUAGCACCAGAAUGGGACUGUUGGAACUCUUGAAGCGAAAAUGAAAAAACUCUAAGGGGGCAAGCUGCCGAAACAGGCUGAAUUAUUCCAAAGUAAUGAAAUGCUACUGAGCUAGAGAAUAUCAAUAAAUUGAAUGCGCUUGUAAUUGAGAAGUUGAAAGAAAAAACACACCACCGAUGUACAAAUACAGGCCAAGUAG
RNAcentral lists this unclassified non-coding RNA (1181 nucleotides) under Cimex lectularius (bed bug). RNAcentral describes it as "interferon-inducible double-stranded RNA-dependent protein kinase activator A-like, transcript variant X4". The record is from RNAcentral. Lineage: Eukaryota; Metazoa; Arthropoda; Insecta; Hemiptera; Cimicidae.